This 504-nucleotide ribosomal RNA is filed under the name uncultured bacterium. RNAcentral describes it as "partial 16S ribosomal RNA". It matches the Rfam family "Bacterial small subunit ribosomal RNA", at positions 28 to 523 of the family's 1533-position model. The record is from RNAcentral.
GAUGAACGCUAGCUACAGGCUUAACACAUGCAAGUCGAGGGGCAGCAUGACGGAAGCUUGCUUCCGUUGAUGGCGACCGGCGCACGGGUGAGUAACGCGUAUCCAACCUGCCCUUGUCCAUCGGAUAACCCGUCGAAAGGCGGACUAACACGAUAUGCAGUUCUCAGCAGGCAUCUAACGAGAACGAAAUGUGAAGGAGAAGGAUGGGGAUGCGUCUGAUUAGCUUGUUGGAGGGGUAACGGCCCACCAAGGCGACGAUCAGUAGGGGUUCUGCGGGGAAGGUCCCCACAAGUGGAACUGAGACACGGUCCAAACUCCUACGGGAGGCAGCAGUGAGGAAUAUUGGUCAAUGGGCGAGAGCCUGAACCAGCCAAGUAGCGUGCAGGAUGACGGCCCUAUGGGUUGUAAACUGCUUUUAUACGGGGAUAAAGUGGGCCACGUGUGGCUUAUUGCAGGUACCGUAUGAAUAAGGACCGGCUAAUUCCGUGCCAGCAGCCGCCGUAA